RNAcentral lists this ribosomal RNA (492 nucleotides) under uncultured bacterium. RNAcentral's name for it is "partial 16S ribosomal RNA". It matches the Rfam family "Bacterial small subunit ribosomal RNA", at positions 29 to 507 of the family's 1533-position model. The record is from RNAcentral.
AGUGAACGCUGGCGGUAUACCUAACACAUGCAAGUCGAACGGCAGCACAGUAAGAGCUUGCUCUUACGGGUGGCGAGUGGCGGACGGGUGAGGAAUACAUCGGAAUCUACUUUUUCGUGGGGGAUAACGUAGGGAAACUUACGCUAAUACCGCAUACGACCUACGGGUGAAAGCAGGGGAUCUUCGGACCUUGCGCGAUUGAAUGAGCCGAUGUCGGAUUAGCUAGUUGUCGGGGUAAAGGCCCACCAAGGCGACGAUCCGAAGCUGGUCGGAGAGGAUGAUGAGCCAACCUGGACCUGAGACACGGUCCAGACUCCUAGGGGAGGAGGCAGUGGGGAAUAUUGGCCAAUGGGCGCAGGCCGGCUCCAGCCCUACCGGGUGGGUGAAGAAGGCUUUCGGGUUGUAAAGCCCUUUUGUUGGGAAAGAAAAGCAGCAGGUUAAAACCCCGAUGUUCUGACGGUACCUAAAGAAUAAGCACCGGCUAACUUCGUG